CANNUGUAAUGGAGCAGUCUGACCGCCAGUACCGUGCAGGAUGACGGCCCUAUGGGUUGUAAACUGCUUUUAUAUGGGGAUAAAGUGGGGAACGUGUUCCCUUUUGCAGGUACCAUAUGAAUAAGGACCGGCUAAUUCCGUGCCAGCAGCCGCGGUAAUACAAACCA
This 167-nucleotide ribosomal RNA is filed under the name uncultured Prevotella sp. Its description in RNAcentral is "partial 16S ribosomal RNA". The stretch from base 35 to 167 matches the Rfam family "Bacterial small subunit ribosomal RNA", at positions 402 to 532 of the family's 1533-position model. The record is from RNAcentral. Lineage: Bacteria; Pseudomonadati; Bacteroidota; Bacteroidia; Bacteroidales; Prevotellaceae.